AUUGAACGCUGGCGGCAGGCCUAACACAUGCAAGUCGAACGGUAACAGGAAGAAGCUUGCUUCUUUGCUGACGAGUGGCGGACGGGUGAGUAAUGUCUGGGAAACUGCCUGAUGGAGGGGGAUAACUACUGGAAACGGUAGCUAAUACCGCAUAACGUCGCAAGACCAAAAAGGGGGACCUUCGGGCCUCUUGCCAUCGGAUGUGCCCAGAUGGGAUUAGCUAGUAGGUGGGGUAACGGCUCACCUAGGCGACGAUCCCUAGCUGGUCUGAGAGGAUGACAAGCCACACUGGAACUGAGACACGGUCAAGACUCCUACGGGAGGCAGCAGUGGGGAAUAUUGCACAAUGGGCGCAAGCCUGAUGCAGCCAUGCCGCGUGUAUGAAGAAGGCCUUCGGGUUGUAAAGUACUUUCAGCGGGGAGGAAGGGAGUAAAGUUAAUACCUUUGCUCAUUGACGUUACCCGCAGAAGAAGCACCGGCUAACUCCGUG
This 490-nucleotide ribosomal RNA is filed under the name uncultured bacterium. Its description in RNAcentral is "partial 16S ribosomal RNA". It matches the Rfam family "Bacterial small subunit ribosomal RNA", at positions 30 to 507 of the family's 1533-position model. The record is from RNAcentral.